UCUCCUACGGGUGGCAGCAGCAAGGAAUUUUCCGCAAUCGACGCAAGUCGGACGGAGCAACGCCGCGUGCGGGAAGAAGGCCCUCGGGUUGUAAACCGCUUUUGUGAGGGAAGAAGAUCUGACGGUACCUCACGAAUAAGUCACGGCUAACUACGUGCCAGCAGCCGCGGUAAUACGUAGGUGGCGAACGUUGUCCGGAUUCACUGGGCGUAAAGCGCGCGCAGGCGGGUUGGUAAGUCUGAGGUGAAAGCUCCCGGCUCAACUGGGAGAAGCCCUUGGAUACUGCCAGCCUUGAGACACUUAGAGGAGAGUGGAAUUCCCGGUGUAGUGGUGGAAUGCGUAGAUAUCGGGAGGAACACCAGUGGCGAAAGCGACUCUCUGGGAGUGUUCUGACGCUGAGGCGCGAAAGCGUGGGGAGCAAACCGGAUUAGAUACCCUGGUAGUCCGC
RNAcentral lists this ribosomal RNA (448 nucleotides) under uncultured bacterium. Its description in RNAcentral is "bacterial SSU rRNA". It matches the Rfam family "Bacterial small subunit ribosomal RNA", at positions 335 to 798 of the family's 1533-position model. The record is from RNAcentral.